Molecule: ribosomal RNA, 483 nt
Filed under: uncultured bacterium
Lineage: Bacteria
Description: partial 16S ribosomal RNA
Rfam family: Bacterial small subunit ribosomal RNA
Source: RNAcentral
UUGAACGCUGGCGGCAGGCCUCACACAUGCCAGUCGAGCGGAUGAAGGGAGCUUGCUCCUGGAUUCAGCGGCGGACGGGUGAGUAAUGCCUAGGAAUCUGCCUGGUAGUGGGGGAUAACGUCCGGAAACGGGCGCUAAUACCGCAUACGUCCUGAGGGAGAAAGUGGGGGAUCUUCGGACCUCACGCUAUCAGAUGAGCCUAGGUCGGAUUAGCUAGUUGGUGGGGUAAAGGCCUACCAAGGCGACGAUCCGUAACUGGUCUGAGAGGAUGAUCAGUCACACUGGAACUGAGACACGGUCCAGACUCCUACGGGAGGAAGCAGUGGGGAAUAUUGGACAAUGGGCGAAAGCCUGAUCCAGCCAUGCCGCGUGUGUGAAGAAGGUCUUCGGAUUGUAAAGCACUUUAAGUUGGGAGGAAGGGCAGUAAGUUAAUACCUUGCUGUUUUGACGUUACCAACAGAAUAAGCACCGGCUAACUUCGUG